UUUUAGAUUAAAUUAUGUUUUUAUUCAUCAGGUAAUCAUAUAAAAUAAAUCAUAUAUCUUUCACGAGUUACUAACAGACUAUAUAGAUAUUAAGUAUUUUCUGCAACAAUGAUCAUGCCUAGUGAUCUAGCAGUUUAUUUCAUUGUCUAUCCCAGCCAAAAUUAUCCGUAAUUAUUUGGCGUGAACAUUUUAGUGAAUCUGAAUCUGAAUUUUUGAAAAUUCUUCCUCUAUAUUUCCUCUAUAUAUUUAAAACUAAAAAUAUUUUCUAAGUAUUAUGUAAUUACAUUUGUUUUUUAUUUCAUGUUUCAAAUUAACAUAGUCCCAUUUACUUGUUAGUAUCUUUUGUUAAGUUGAUAAGAUUAUUUUCAUUUCAUCAAGUAUCCUAAUUUAUAAAUUCUUUAAUAUUAUAAUUAAAUUAAUCAUAAUCUUCUUUAUGUUAAUGAGGAAGUAAUGUAGAAGUGAUGGCCAAAAAGAAAAAUAUAAUCAUAAGUAAUCAAAUGUGUUUCAACUGUUAGCACACCACAUUAACAUGCAAAGAACUAGACUAACAGAAAGGUUAGAAUUACAGAUUUAUGCUAAUUGAUUGCUUAUUAAUAUUAUCGAAACGAUUUAGUCACAGUUGGCUAGCAGAUACUACGCCAUUUCUAGCGCUUAGAAGUAUUAAACGGACGUGCAAGAAUGUUACUUUAAUUGACGCUACUUUAAUCCCACUUCGAAUAUUACGAUUGAAUUUGUUUGUUAGCCUAAUUACAAUGCACUGAAAUUUUUCCAUUUUUACUGAUUCAGCGAAUGAUUAACACAUUACGAAAUAAUAAUUGUUCACCGAGAUACCUAAAGAAUGCGAAUAAGAAGUAGAAACUUGCUAAGAAUCAUCGUUAUUUUCCAACGUGUUUCCCAACGUCUGUCUUCUUUUUAGAGUAAAUAUUGUAUCUCGGUAGCCUUCGCGACGUAAAAACCACAAGUCUUUUGUAAAUUCUGCAAGCAAUUCUAAAUUUUAAAACACGAAGUAUUCACGGUCACAAUCAACCUUCGUCGAAAGAGUUUUCACUUCGAAUUGCAUCAAUAGAACAAUGUCUUUCCUUGAAUGUAAGAAGAAAAUAUGAUGGAAAAAUCAAAUACGUUUUAAUCAAGUUUACUAAAAAAAGCGGUUAUAUAACGUGCUUGAAAUAAACUUACAUCAAACUGCAACACUGUGAAUUGCAUAAAUAGUAUAGAUGACUAAUGUGGAAUCAUAUUUAUGAACAGAAGAAGAUGAAUCGCUCGAUAGAGAUAAAUUUUGCUGCGCAUGACAAGAAAUUUGUCGAAUUCAUCUAUUGGUGAAAGACGAUGAAUAAUAAUUCAUGAAUUAUCCAAAUGUUGGACCUUAUUCUGUCAUAACUAACAUGCAAGCCAUAAACGGGUGAAAUGGGAAGUGGUCCGGGAAAUAAGUCAGGCUGAUUUAACGAGCAUAAAUGUGCGAGUUAGCAUAUCGGCAAAGGCCGCGCCCUGCGCAUCCGUUUCUCAAUGGCCUACUAAAAUCUACGCUCACUCUCUUUGUGUGUCGACGAUGAAAAUAACCCCAUCAACGUAGGAAGAGAAGCUAGGUUUACGGAUUAGAAACAUGAAAAGGAAGGCAGGCUGAAAGAACGAUAGUGUUGCUAUCAAUAAGACCAAGGAAAAGAAAUUUAUUCGAUUGGAAUCGGUUCGAUCAUAGAAUCCCAUUUUUACCGUUCCCAAUCUUUCUCUAAUGGAUAUUAUACGAACUGUACAGGCAUUAUAUUUUGCCAAUAGAAAUGGCAAUUAGAAGAAUAAUGCUCGUUACGAUUAUAUUUAAUAUAUUUCAUAAAUUUUAAUCAAAGGUGGGUCAGUAAUUUAUCAUUUAUCCUAAUCUAAAAAAAUUUAGAUUUCUUAUAUGAAAAAUUAAAAUUAAUUGCGUAAGUAAAAUGAUUAUAUCUCUUCAUUUUGUUCAUUAUGUAAUUGAAUUAGAGGUUCCCUCUUUCAUACAAACUUUCCUUUUCAGACACACCGGAUUACCUUUGAUUUUAAGCACUCAAAACCGUGAAAUCGUUGAUCAUUGAUUAAAGCAUCGAUUUGUACUGAACUGAGACUAACAUGCAAAAAUUGUGCUUCCGGCAUUUUCAAACCACUGAGCUUUUCGUAUGUGUUCCAAGUGUCGAGCAAAAACUAAAAAAGCUAGCAGAUUUGUUCGAAUUCGUGUCAACUUUACUUUUUCGCAUCAUAGAUGCGUAAUUUUAUUAGCCUGAAAAGAAUGAUAAGAUGACAAUAACCAGGAGAACAAAGAGUGAUUUUUAAAUAGUGAUUCGGAGGAAUUUCUCUGACAUUCCUGAUUCUAAUUCAAGUUGUGAUGUCACACAGCAUGAAAAUUGAAGCGAAAGCUUCGCAAUAAUAUUGUUGAUGCGAAUUUGACGAGAUAUUUAUAAGGGAGAAUAAUGAUGGCAAUCAUUUGAUACAAAAUUUUAUUUGAUUGUCAAUUAUACUUGUCAAUCAUUAGCUUCAUGAACUAUAAAGGAUUUAUCCAAACGAGACUAGAAGAAGAAAAAAAGUAAAAGUAGGACAGAUGACGCCUUCGGGUAGAAUUGUUUUCAUUUACGAUUCAACUUAUUUCACACUCAAUUAACGAUUACGACUAUUAACUCUCUGUAUGGAAGUUUUUCAUAAGCGGCUAUAUAGACAUGAAUUCAGUAAUACUUUUUUACGCUUAAAAAGAAGUUAACUAUUGAAACGUUUACAUUUUUCUCGUCAUAUAACAAAAAUACUAGUCGAGAGACUGUCUAACUAGCUGGUGAUAAUAUGAUAAAUGGACACGUUAGCAAAGUUAAGCGUGUUAACUCCGAUUGGAUCAUUACUGCUUCGAAGCUCAAAAAGAAAAGAGGUUUCGAUGCUUCCAGAGAUUUUCACGCUCCAUCACGGAACGCAGACUGUUUAAUCAAAUUGAACGACGUUUCGUGGGAGAUUGUGUAACGCACAGGAAAUAUUCAGUGAAUUCUAAUUUUGAGACAGCUGGAUAAAUGCCCAGUAAAUAAAUUAAAAAAAUCUUCAUCGAUCGUUAAUUUCAAUUUCUUUUAAUUCGAUAUUCUCAUUCUUAAAUACAACUAUAGAAUGUAAAACUUUCGUCAAAUGGGAUAAAUUUUUAACUGCUGGAAUAAAAUAAUUGGAACAUAUUGUUAAAGGUGAAUUUUUAUUGAACAAUAUUUCGAUUUAAAACUAAGAAGAAACGAGAUAAACUUGAAAUCAAUGUGCGUAUUAACAAAAUUAACGUUACUUAAAGAAUUUUAUUAAUAGAAGAUUAGAAAACUUUAAUUAUUCGUAAGAGAUAUAGAAUCUAGAACAUAUUUUCUCGAGAUCAGUAGGUCACCUAUUCUAGACUAGCAUGAUGUCGGCCAGAUGAAAUCGUAGAUCGCCGGUUACCAUAACGACCAACGGUUCUCCCUUUAUUUUUCUACCUACCCCUAACAUUGUGUAUAGUAUUCCAACUAAAUCCCCUAGUAUUUCUAUUCUGUACGAUUACAAGCUUCUCCAUUCAAUACCUUCAAUGUUCUAUUCUUUUCGCAGAAUUUUCUACCUGACCCUUGCUUCUGACAAUUCAUCAAUAGAUUUCAUUUCGAUUUUAAAUGACAAGGAAAUGUGAAUUCGGUAUAAUAAUAUUUCAAUCUAUACGAUUACAUUUGCGAAGUUAAAUAAUUCAUUUUCAAACUUCGAUAAUAAAGAGAAUAAAAAGAAAAAUAGGAUAAAAAAUAAUUGCAUGUAUAUAUUAAAUUUUGAAAAAAAAAAAAAAUCGUCAGCAGCUAAAAAGCAAAAAUGAAAAGAAAUCGUCUCACCUUGGCUUAAUACAUUCUAAAGAAGGUCACAUUAUCAUGAUAUAAAUUUUUGCUGUAACAAUCAUCAUUGCUAUAUAAGGAAAUAGCAUGAUGCUUUUACGCAAUAAGCAAACACACUAACGUGAAUGUUACUUGGCAAAAUAACAUGUGUAAGACUAUUUGCAGAAACAUUUUUCUAGGAAUAUUAUGGUCAUAUAGAAAUACGAUUUGAAGAUCGAGAUAGCCAAGACCUUGAAGACAAAAGUCGAGCAUAGUUGUUUAAAAAAAACUAUCUGUCUUACACUUGAUGAAAAAUCGUUUUAAUUAAACGAUGCUUUAUAUUUCUUGCGCUUCAACUUCCUUCAUUUUAUAAUCAUAUAAAAUCAUAAAAAUAUAAGUAUUGAAUAAAUUCUAAUAAUCUUUUCUUCCUUCUAAUUGAUUUGUUUUUUGAAAUGGACGAUGAUUUAAAAACUGUUUUCAUGAUCUAGUGGAAAAUUAUAGGUUUAUAGAGAAUUCAGUGAAUCGACAAAAAACUUUCAUUUUUUUAUCAUAGACUGCAUCAAUGCACUUUGAAAAUAUAUCUGUUAAAACAACAAAUUAUUAAAAUUAAUUACAAAAUAAUGGAAACUGCGUAACGACUUCGUUUCAAUAUAAAAAAGAAUAACAAUUAUUUACUUGUCAUAUUGUACUUAUGAAUAGAAAUUUCUCCACAGAGAAAAUUUAUUAUUUUACUAAAUAUGCCCUGUCAAAGAGCACGAACAAACAUAUUGCAUAAUAGAUUUUCAUUUUACUAACUACAAGAAAAUUGCCGCAAUGAAUCACGUUUUAAUAAAAGGUAGAAAAUCAAUUCAAUCUAAUUUAAUAUAUUAAUAAUAUAAAAGAAUAUUGUGUAAUCUAUACGAUCUCUUGUGAUGCUAAAUUCCGAUUUAAA
Apis mellifera (honey bee) is the source of this 4728-nucleotide long non-coding RNA. RefSeq lists it as uncharacterized. NCBI's taxonomy places the organism in Eukaryota, Metazoa, Arthropoda, Insecta, Hymenoptera, Apidae. The record is from RefSeq and is a predicted model, not a curated record. The transcript has 6 exons.